Molecule: ribosomal RNA, 402 nt
Filed under: Rhinella castaneotica (Para toad)
Lineage: Eukaryota; Metazoa; Chordata; Amphibia; Anura; Bufonidae
Description: partial 16S ribosomal RNA
Rfam family: Bacterial large subunit ribosomal RNA
Source: RNAcentral
CUUGAACUUUAUAAGAGGUCCAGCCUGCCCAGUGACUCUGUUCAACGGCCGCGGUAUCCUAACCGUGCGAAGGUAGCGUAAUCACUUGUUCUUUAAAUGUGGACUAGUAUGAAUGGCACUACGAGGGUUAUACUGUCUCCUUUUUCUAAUCAGUGAAACUAAUUUUCCCGUGAAGAAGCGGGAAUACAACUAUAAGACGAGAAGACCCUAUGGAGCUUUAAACGACCUAGCAAUUACUUCUAAAAUUAUAAAUUUCAGAAUACUCAUUCUUUAAGUAAUAUGUCUGCAAGUUUUUGGUUGGGGUGACCAUGGAGAAUAACACAACCUCCAUAUUGAAUGAAUUUUUAUUCUAAGCUAAGAAUUACUAAUUAAAGCAUCAACACACUGACAUUUAUUGACCCA